CUGAGGUCCCCCUGUUCUUUGAGUCUGAAAUUCUAGCAUCCUUGCUUGGGAGGAAAUUUAUCAACUGCAGUGUUUUUCAUUUUCCAUCUGAAUUUGGAAUUCAGAGUCCAGCCUCUCCCGUCUUCCCAUCCUGAACACGGUUGUGCUUAGUGUGAUCCCUCUGCUCUCUUUUAGAAGUUAUUCAUACCCCCUCUCUCCCCACAUCCCAGGGCUACCACCCCGAUGCCCCAUGAGGUGGAGAUUGCGCACACCAAGAAGCUGUUCCGGAGGAGGAGAAACGACCGAAGACGGCAGCAGAGACCUCCAGGAGGAAACAAGCCCCAGCAGCACAGUGACCACCAGCCAGGCAGUGCCAAACACAACAGGGACCAUCAGAAGUCCUACCAAGGGGGCCCAGUGCCUCAUGCCUCAGGGAGGCCUACCCACCACGGCUACAGCCAGAACCGGCGCUGGCACCACAGCAAUAUGAAGCACCCACCAGGCGACAAAGGGGAGGCAGGUGCCCACCGCAAUGCCAAAGAGACCAUGACCAGCGAGAGCCCCAAACUUGACACCCUAGGGGACACUGGGCACAGUGGCCUUGAACCCCCCUCGCAGCCCUGAUGCCCCAGUCCCACCAGCAUCCGAGAGGCUACCCACGCCAGUGCCAGGGGGACCAGAGGCUGAGACAAAGCGUAAAGACAGUAUUAUUCCCGGCGCGCACGGGGAGCGGCCCAGAAUUACCCUGCUCCAGUCCUCCAAAGACAGGCUUCGCCGAAGGCUAAAAGAAAAGGAUGAAGUGAUGGUGGAGACAACCAACCCUCAGCAGAACAAGAUGGACAAGUUGAUAGAGAUCUUGAACAGCAUGCGAAACAACAGCAGCGAUGUGGAUGCGAAGCUCACCACCUUCAUGGAGGAGGCCCAGAACUCUACCAACUCCGAGAGAGAUGCUGGGCGAGAUCGUGCGGACCAUCUACCAGAAGGCCGUGUCAGACCGUAGCUUUGCCUUCACUGCUGCCAAGCUCUGUGACAAAAUGGCACUCUUCAUGGUGGAGGGGACCAAGUUCGGAGCCUGCUGCUCAACAUGCUCCAGCUUCUGCAGUCUCAGGAUGUGAAGGAAGAUGCUGUCCUUUGCUGCUCUAUGGAGCUACAGAGCACAGGGCGACUGCUGGAAGAGCAGCUGCCCGAGAUGAUGACGGAGCUUCUAGCCAGUGCUCGAGAUAAGAUGCUGUGCCCCACAGAGUCCAUGCUGACCCGGUCUCUGCUCCUGGAGGUCAUCGAGCUCCAUGCCAACAGCUGGAACCCACUGACACCCCCCAUCACGCAGUACUACAACAGAACCAUCCAGAAACUGACAGCCUGACAGCCAGGGGGCCUGGCGGGCGGCCCAUGGGCAGCUGAGGCCCUGGUGCACAGGGCCAGAUGGACAGGCGGGAGGACAGGGGUGGCCCUGGUGGGAGAAAGAAAUGGGGAGGAAGGCAAGCAGAGUCGGUGGCCAGUCUGGAGCCAGCCAGGAAAGUGAUCAAAUCCCUCAGAAGAGCCCCCCUAGGCAUAAACACCCCCACCUGAGCCUGAGCAUGCGGCAGCUCCUACCAACAAGGGAAGCAUGUUUCUUUUCCAUGGUGGCCCUGGCCCUAGACCUCCCUCACUCCCACCCCUCUCCACCCCCUGCCAUCCAACUCCUCCACCUCAAGCAGAGAUCUCAUCUCUGCUGCUCCUCAGAGGCCCCUGCCCCCCUGCAGCUCUGAACACCAGCCUCCCACACCGGGGCACUGCUUGGGUCAGAAAAGACCUCAGAAGGCUGAAAAAGUGGGUCGAGACGGGCUCCCAUUGUUUCCUUCGUGCUGUCAGCCGCAGUUGCCAACUGGCAGCAGGCGACAUGUAGCAGAUGUCCGGGAGGACAAAGGCAGGCACGGUCCCCACCAGCCGCCAGUAAUUGACGGCCUUUGUCAGCCACAGUGGAGCUAGGGAGAGGCGCUUUGCUCUGCUCUUCACACCCCACCCUCCCAAGCUCAGUUCCUCCAGCCUUGCCCCCCCACACCCCGCCCAGGCCUAGGAGGCUGGCAGCCGGGAGGGGAGCUGGAGCUUGCAGCUCAGUUUGCACCCUUUUCUUUUGUUGUGUUUUAUUUUUCAAAAGUCGGUUGCUUUGAAGUCUCUUCUCUCAAUGAAAAUACCCUCGAUGUGAUCACAUAGUCAGCCCUGCAAGGACGCCCUGAUUAAUGGAAGAUCAAACCCGGCCUCCUCUGGAAAGAUUCUAGCCAUAGACAGCUUGCCAGUAGCCAAUUAGGGUAAUUGGAAACUUCUGCCCCCGCGGGGGUCCCCUGCUGGAAUUCUGUGUUCCUCCCCCCUGGCCUGCAGCGACUCUGCUCUCCAGUUUCUGUCUCUCAAAGGAUCUGGUACUUCGGCUGCUGGACUGUAUUAGACCUGGUCCUGGCCAUGGGGGUCUUGUGGCAAACAGGGCCCAGAACAAGUUUGGUAAACUAAAACCAAAGUGAAAGUCUUGUCCCAAGCUCCUAGUGGGGAGAAGGAUUCGGUGGGAGCUGCCUGGCUCCCGGGAUUUGUCUAAGUUAUUGGGCUGUGUCAUUGCCUGAGCCUUAUCCUAGACAGGAUCCAGAAGCCUGCCCCUUCCAGCUAUUGGGAAAGGGAGAAAUCAUUGAGUCAUAAGAAAGACAGUCAGGUGGGCCCCCCUGAUGGAGCUUUCCAGGCUGGAAACAAGGCUGGGGAUUCUUGGAAGGCCCUGUCUUGGGGAGCAGCCUCUUCUAUGAGGGCUAGAGAGGAAGGUGGGGUCAAGCUCUGGGAUGCUAGCAUCAGGAUCAUGACCAGUGUCCACACAGUCCAUGUCUGAAGUGUGGAGCCCAUGCUUUGAUGAGCCCCCAUGAAAUGCCAUCAGAACCCAGCAGCUUCCUGAUUUGCUCCUUUAUUGAGGUUGGUCAUACCCUAGGUCACAUUGGAAACCUUUUAUGGCCUCCUGAUCCAAAUCAGACUGGCUGGGAGGUAAAGGGUGGGUAAGGUUUCUGCUGAUUGUUUCUGGGUCUAGGAAGAAGUUCUCCAUUCAAGCCUGAUUUGCCCCCACUGAAACUGGCCUUCUAGUGCUAGGAUGGGGGCCUGUGCCAGUCCCCCCCAAAAAGCCUACUUGGGAUGAGGUAUGGGGCCACAGUUUCCCUUUAAAUAGGUCAGUGGCCUCUGCCAAGAAGCCCACACUGGCCCCUGGCUCCUGCCUUCCUCCCCUGCUCCUCCUUCCCAGGCUUUCUCAAGAUGCUCCCUUAGCUACUGCGCCUGCGCCAGCCCUUAGCCCCAGCCUGGAGCCCAGGGACACCAGAAACCCCACAGGAGGCCUUGAAGGAAGAGUGGGGCUGAUAUCAGGAUGCUCAGAGAGGGCACUAGGGAAAUCAUGCUCUCAUGGAGUCAGGCAGCCCUGGCCAGGCAGCUGCUCCCGUCAGCCUCAGAGGGCCACACCUAUGCUUAUAAGGGCCCCCUUCCUUCAGGGGUGUGUGUGUGUGUGUGUGUGUGUGUGUGUGUGUGUGUAAGCAUUUUGUGUGCAUCAGCAAAGAACAAAGCAGGGUUCCCAGAAGACAGAGGUCUGAAAGUUGGGUCUCCUAGACCUCUUGGGCUCGCAGGCAAGCUCCAUGAAGGGGACUCUCAAAGGUUGUGUGGAGGGGCUAGUGUCCCGUGUGGAAGCAAGAGGCAAUUGACACUGUGGGCACUGAGGGUCAGAUGUGCCUCCCUCCUGAUGGCCUGUUUGUUGGGGGUCUUGCCUCAGGGCCAGCCCCUGUUUGGCCAUAAAGACUAGUGUGAAGACAUGAGAUAUAAAUAUGUAUUAUAUAUAAAUAUAUUUUUAAUUAUGUGUUGUGUCACGGUGGCUCCAGACGUACACUUUGCCUAAUUUGUUCCAUUGCUUGAAAGCACUUCCUGGCCCAUCUGAAUAACACUUUUGGCUGUUUUUCUAAAUGCAGGUUGCUGCUACUUUUUCAGACAAGGAAGGAAAACAUUUUUUUUUUUUUUUUUUUAAAGAAACACAGCAAAGCCUAAAAUUUAAGAGUCUAGGGCAACUUCCCAUGGGAGACAUCUCAGACAGGAACCAGGGGGCAGAAGUAGGCGCCCCGAAGACCCCUGCCCCUUCCCUGUGCCAGAGCCCCCUCUGCUGCAAAAGAAAGACCAGCUGGAUGUUGUGUCCCACUUGGUGGCAGGCCUUGGAGCAUGGAAGAGGCAGCCUGCAGGCAUCUCACGCUCCAGUCCUCGGCCCCUUCCUGUCAGGAUGAGUUAGUUUUCCUCUCCAGCAGCCCCUUUGCCAUAGUCCUGCUCCCCACGGCCUGGUGGCUUUGCCUGAGCUCUGGUGCCCCAGUCCCAGAAGGGCUCCCAGGCUCCCCCGGAUGAGGUUGGGAGCUCCAUCGUCAUCCAUGGGGACCGUGCACCCCAGAACCCAGCUUUGUCUGUUUGUCUUUCCUUAACCAGUCUGUAAACCUUUAUAGUUUGGGGAGCGUCCUGUCCAUCUGUGUAAAUGUAAAUGUUGACCUAGUCGGUAUUUAUUCUAAUUUUUAUGUUAUUUUAUUUUCUCUGAGGGGGUGGGAUUGGGAUUGUGGGAACUGUACCACUGGUCACAGCCUGGGCAGCUUCAGAGGCUGGGCCCCAGAUGGCUGCUAAGAGGAGAAGCCCCUCUGGGGCCACACCAGACAGCCACCUCCGGGAAGCCCAGUCCCAGGCCAUUAUCUGGCAUCAGAGGCUGGCCAGUAUUCCUUGUCUCACAGUAGCUUGGACCUGCUGUGGCAUGGUGUCCCUCAGCUGUCCAGGCAGUCACUCAGUUGGGAAACCUCUGGCUAGGCCCUGAGGAUGUGGGUCAGGGAAAAGAUGACUCCCCUCUGCUCAGGAUGCUUGCAUGGAAGGGCUGGCCACCUUGCCCGAGCCAGCUAGGAGCUGGACGGCAGGACCUACCUCCCUGGAGCAGGGGUCUGGGGCUUCCCACCAAAGCUGCAACAGAAUCCUGCUCACGCCGACACCUUCCCUCCAUUGGUAUGUCCUGCUUUCCAGCUGAACCCAAACUACAAGUGGAUUUAAAAAAUAAACAAUACCAAAAACCAAAAAUGCCC
Long non-coding RNA from Heterocephalus glaber (naked mole-rat), 5063 nucleotides. NCBI's taxonomy places the organism in Eukaryota, Metazoa, Chordata, Mammalia, Rodentia, Bathyergidae. The record is from Ensembl.